UAGGGAAUCUUCGGCAAUGGACGAAAGUCUGACCGAGCAACGCCGCGUGAGUGAAGAAGGUUUCCGGAUCGUAAAACUCUGUUGCUAGAGACGAACAAGGACGUUAGUAACUGAACGUCCCCUGACGGUAUCUAAUCAGAAAGCCACGGCUAACUACGUGCCAGCAGCCGCGGUAAUACGUAGGUGGCAAGCGUUGUCCGGAUUUAUUGGGCGUAAAGCGAGCGCAGGCGGUUUCUUGAGUCUGAUGUGAAAGCCCCCGGCUCAACCGGGGAGGGUCAUUGGAAACUGGGGGACUUGGGUGCAGAAGAGGAGUGUGGAAUUCCAUGUGUAGCGGUGAAAUGCAUAAAUAUAUGGAGGAACACCGGUAGCGAAGGCGGCUCUCUGGUCUGUAACUGUCGAUAAGGCUCGAAAGCGUGGGGAGCGAACAGG
This 429-nucleotide ribosomal RNA is filed under the name Gemmatimonadota bacterium. Its description in RNAcentral is "Gemmatimonadetes bacterium partial 16S ribosomal RNA". It matches the Rfam family "Bacterial small subunit ribosomal RNA", at positions 355 to 776 of the family's 1533-position model. Lineage: Bacteria; Pseudomonadati; Gemmatimonadota. The record is from RNAcentral.